UACGUAGGGGGCGAGCGUUGUCCGGAAUGACUGGGCGUAAAGGGCGCGUAGACGGCUUUUUAAGUCUGGAGUGAAAGUCCUGCUUUCAAGGUGGGAAUUGCUUUGGAGACUGGAAGGCUUGAGUGCGGAAGAGGUAAGUGGAAUUCCCAGUGUAGCGGUGAAAUGCGUAGAGAUUGGGAGGAACACCAGUGGCGAAGGCGACUUACUGGGCCGUAACUGACGUUGAUGCGCGAAAGCGUGGGGAGCGAACAGGAUUAGAUACCCUGGUAGUCCACGCGGUAAACGAUGAGUGCUAGGUGUAGCGGGUAUCGACCCCUGCUGUGCCGGAGUUAACACAAUAAGCACUCCGCCUGGGGAGUACGGCCGCAAGGUUGAA
RNAcentral lists this ribosomal RNA (376 nucleotides) under uncultured bacterium. RNAcentral's name for it is "bacterial SSU rRNA". It matches the Rfam family "Bacterial small subunit ribosomal RNA", at positions 524 to 898 of the family's 1533-position model. The record is from RNAcentral.